UCUUCACAGAAAGAGUGGCUGGACAUUGGAAUGGGCUUUCCAGGGAGGUGGUGGAGUCACCAGCUCUGGAGCUUUUUAAAAAAAGAGUGGACGUGGCACUCAAUGCCACGGUCUGGUUGACAUGCUGGUGUUUGGUUAUAGAUCAGACUCAAAGGUCUUUUCCAACCUAGUUAAUUCUGAGAUUCUGUGACUGGUUUUUUCACCAUUCUUCCACAGCUGCACAUAAUCAGCUGCUGAUUCCCACCUUCUCCUACAUGAACCACCUGGGAACCCAGCACACCUGGGGCCUUUCUCCCCAUCACCCAUUCCAGCAGCCCUGCCCUCACAAUAUGACAGCUGCUCUUAUAAAACCCCAUUUCCCUCUUUGUUUCUUUUUACUGGUGCAGCCACAGAACUCUAACAGACGUUGCCAAAUCUUGUGUAACUCAUGACACUCCCAGCCUCCUACACACACCUUCCAAAAUAUCCAGAGACUGCAGUAACACAUGCAAUGAAGAAACCAAACUUCCUUUUUUACAUGCUAUUUCAGAACAAUGGACUGGAUGCACUUCUGGGACAAACCAAAACUUGUCCCCAAAACAACAAAGCCAGGGCUACAAAUGAAACAAAAUGAGACCUGGACUGCCACUCAGAAAGGUGCUGGUUUGAGAAUGGACCAGCCUUUACUUUUAAAGCUCGGAAAGAAGGGAAUUUGGCAACACUAAUGCCAAAAGACAGUUCACAGAUCUGUUCUGAAAAGCACUUCUUCAUACUACCUCCUUCUUCUGGAUCGCUCAGCUCCUAGGGGGGUGGGAGGCCCACAGUCAAAAUAUCCCUACUCAAAAAACAUCUGGAGCAUGAAGAUAAGCAGAGACAUGCUUACAUGCCACUGCUGACUGGAAACCACUGCUCAAUUUAGCAAAGCAAUUAAGGACAUGAUUAUUCAGAAGUGAACUUAUAUCCGAACCAUCUGAACCCUCCUUAUGCUCAUCGUUAAAUAGAUCCUUAAGAAGUUACGUGAAAGAAGUCAUAUGGAAGUGUUUUUUUAAAAAAUUAUUUACAAGCAAAUGUGUAGGGCUAGCUGUCAAAACAGCUAGGAAAAAGGAAACAAAGAUGUCACAUGCAAGUAAAUCUAAAGAGUCACAGUUUUUGCAUUGGGAACAUAAGAAAAAUCAAAUCAUGAGCCAGGAUGAUGAAUUUUCACAUGAAUACCGAGAUCAUCUUUUGACAAAACUGUCAUCCACAUAAGAUUUUAUUUUCAGUCUACUAAGGAUUUUGAUAUAGCCUCAGUAUUUUGUGCAAUAUGCAAGACCACCACGUGUGUGACAAUUUGAAGCACUAAUGCUUGGAUUGUCUUCAGGUGAGCAUUACCCAAACAGGUCACACUGAAAAUUCCCUGCACCAGGAACAAAUCAGCUGCUUACUGGUAGGAGCAGUAACUAAUAAAAAUCUGUUUUUCUGUUUUGGAUAACA
Molecule: long non-coding RNA, 1452 nt
Filed under: Cyanistes caeruleus (blue tit)
Lineage: Eukaryota; Metazoa; Chordata; Aves; Passeriformes; Paridae
Description: lncRNA (ENSCCEG00000012193.1)
Source: RNAcentral